AGAGUUUGAUCAUGGCUCAGAAUGAACGCUGGCGACGUGCCUAACACAUGCAAGUCGAACGGGAAAGCCCUUCGGGGUAAGUAGAGUGGCAAACGGGUGAGUAACACGUAAGAAUCUACCCUUCAGUGGAGAAUACCUCUGAGAAAUUAGAGUUAAUACUGCAUACGUCUCUACGGAGAGAAAGGUGGCAUACGCUAUCGCUGGGGGAUGAGCUUGCGGCCUAUUAGCUAGUUGGAGAGGUAAAAGCUCACCAAGGCAAAGAUGGGUAACCGGCCUGAGAGGGUGUACGGUCACACUGGAACUGAGACACGGUCCAGACUCCUACGGGAGGCAGCAGUGGGGAAUAUUGCACAAUGGGCGCAAGCCUGAUGCAGCGACGUCGCGUGGAGGAAGAAGGUUUUCGGAUUGUAAACUCCUGUUAAACGGGAAGAAAGACUCAAGGCUAAUAUCCUUGGGGGAUGACGUUACCGUUAAAGAAAGCACCGGCUAACUUCGUGCCAGCAGCCGCGGUAAUACGAAGGGUGCGAGCGUUAUUCGGAAUAACUGGGCGUAAAGGGCGCGUAGGCGGUUUACUAAGUCGUUUGUCAAAUUCCAUGGCUUAACUAUGGAUGCGCAGGCGAAACUGGUAGACUAGAGGGUAGCAGAGAGGAGUGGAAUUCUCGGAGUAGCGGUAAAAUGCGUAGAUCUCGAGAGGAACACCAAUGGCGAAGGCAGCUCCUUGGGCUACAUCUGACGCUGAGGCGCGAAAGCGUGGGGAGCAAACAGGAUUAGAUACCCUAGUAGUCC
Molecule: ribosomal RNA, 786 nt
Filed under: uncultured bacterium
Lineage: Bacteria
Description: bacterial SSU rRNA
Rfam family: Bacterial small subunit ribosomal RNA
Source: RNAcentral